UCCGGUUUGUCACCGGCAGUCUGGCGUGAGUCCCCAACUUAAUGCUGGCAACACGCCACGGGGGUUGCGCUCGUUGCGGGACUUAACCCAACAUCUCACGACACGAGCUGACGACAGCCAUGCAGCACCUGUGUUACGGUUCCCUUUUGGGCACUCCUCCAUCUCUGGAGGAUUCCGUACAAGUCAAGGGUAGGUAAGGUUUUUCGCGUUGCAUCGAAUUAAUCCACAUAAUCCACCGCUUGUGCGGGUCCCCGUCAAUUCCUUUGAGUUUUAACCUUGCGGCCGUACUCCCCAGGCGGAGUGCUUAAAGCGUUAGCUGCGACACCGAAGGGUAAACCCCCCGACGUCUAGCACUCAUCGUUUACGGCGUGGACUAC
This 377-nucleotide unclassified non-coding RNA is filed under the name uncultured Pseudomonadota bacterium. RNAcentral's name for it is "uncultured proteobacterium contains 16S-23S intergenic spacer region". Lineage: Bacteria; Pseudomonadati; Pseudomonadota. The record is from RNAcentral.